UUGCUACCAUUCAAUGUGUAGAUUCAAGUAUUUACCCAGAUACUGCCACAAUAUGUUCUUAUUGUUUUCAAAGGAGUUUGCACACAGUGCCAGAAGCUGUAUAAAUACAUUUAACAAUGUAUAUUUCAAGAAGAAAUGAUGCUUUCUUAUUCCUAAGAGUUUAUCAAUAGGAUGAAUGCCACAAAACUCACUUGUUAUGCCAGAAACUCUUCCUACGAAACUUCCAUACUAGAAUUUGUCCAGUGCCUGUGAUCCUCUGAGUUGAAGGAGAAUGUGCUCCAUAAUACCUACUAGGAGCUUGCUGAUAGCUGGAAGUUCAUGAAUACUAUGUUGUCCUUGAUUUUAUGAUUCUGAAAACUACCAUUUCUGAAGACUUGAGCAUUAUUUCUAUAAUUUAAAAAAAUCUUUUCAGGAAAUAUUGUGUUUAUAAUAUUAAGAAAGUGAAGAUAAUAUUGUUCUUACUAAUAUUAUUGACUUAUUAAAAUAGAAAGCACAUCAU
This is a long non-coding RNA of Biomphalaria glabrata, 499 nucleotides long. RefSeq lists it as uncharacterized. NCBI's taxonomy places the organism in Eukaryota, Metazoa, Mollusca, Gastropoda, Planorbidae. The record is from RefSeq and is a predicted model, not a curated record. The transcript is spliced from 3 exons.